GUCGGGCGCGGUGGCAGGGGCCUAUAGUCCCAGCUACUCAGGAGGCUGAGGUGGGAGGAUCGCUUGAGCCCAGGAGUUCUGUACUGUAGUGCGCUAUGCCGAUCGGGUGUCCGAACUAAGUUCAGCAUCACUACGGUGACCUCCCGGGAGCAGGGAACCACCAGGUUGCCUAAAAACGGGUGAACCGGCCCAGGUGGGAAAUGAAGCAAGUCAAAACUCCCAUGCUGAUCUGUAGUGGGAUAGUGCCUGUGAAUAGCCACUGCACUCCAGCCUGGGCAACAUAGCGAGAUACUGGCUCUU
Unclassified non-coding RNA from Callithrix jacchus (white-tufted-ear marmoset), 300 nucleotides. It matches the Rfam family "Metazoan signal recognition particle RNA". From Rfam's summary of the family: The signal recognition particle (SRP) is a universally conserved ribonucleoprotein. It is involved in the co-translational targeting of proteins to membranes. The eukaryotic SRP consists of a 300-nucleotide 7S RNA and six proteins: SRPs 72, 68, 54, 19, 14, and 9. NCBI's taxonomy places the organism in Eukaryota, Metazoa, Chordata, Mammalia, Primates, Cebidae. The record is from Ensembl.